UUGUGUUUUCUUCAGGUGGCUUUGAGUGACACAUAUACUGUCCUUUUUCCCCUAGGUUUGUUUGUAAAAACAAUGGUGUGUUGUUUGAAAACCAACUGCUUCAAAUUGGACUUAAGUCUGAAUUUCGGCAGAAUUUAGGUCGGAUGUUUAUCUUUUAUGGUAAUAAGACCUCCACGCAGUUCCUAAACUUUACCCCAACACUAAUCUGUUCAGACGACCUUCAGCCUAACCUGAACCUGCAGACCAAGCCCGUGGACCCGACUGUGGAGGGGGGCGCGCAGGUGCAGCAGGUGGUCAACAUAGAGUGCGUGUCUGACUUCACGGAGGCGCCAGUCCUCAACAUUCAGUUCAGGUAUGGGGGCACCUUCCAGAACGUGUCUGUGCAGCUGCCCAUCACUCUCAACAAAUUCUUCCAGCCAACAGAAAUGGCUUCUCAGGAUUUCUUUCAACGUUGGAAGCAGUUGAGCAAUCCGCAGCAGGAAGUGCAGAACAUCUUCAAAGCAAAGCACCCAAUGGACACAGAAGUCACCAAAGCCAAGAUCAUUGGAUUUGGUUCUGCACUUCUUGAAGAAGUUGAUCCCAAUCCUGCGAAUUUCGUGGGAGCUGGAAUCAUCCACACGAAAACCACCCA
RNAcentral lists this small RNA (631 nucleotides) under Pongo abelii (Sumatran orangutan). Its description in RNAcentral is "retained intron". Lineage: Eukaryota; Metazoa; Chordata; Mammalia; Primates; Hominidae. The record is from RNAcentral.